GUGGGGAAUUUUGGACAAUGGGCGCAAGCCUGAUCCAGCAAUGCCGCGUGCAGGAAGAAGGCCUUCGGGUUGUAAACUGCUUUUGUACGGAACGAAACGGUCCGGGUUAAUACCCUGGGCUAAUGACGGUACCGUAAGAAUAAGCACCGGCUAACUACGUGCCAGCAGCCGCGGUAAUACGUAGGGUGCAAGCGUUAAUCGGAAUUACUGGGCGUAAAGCGUGCGAAGGCGGUUUUGUAAGACAGGCGUGAAAUCCCCGGGCGCAACCUGGGAAUUGCGCUUGUGACUGCAAGGCUGGAGUGCGGCAGAGGGGGAUGGAAUUCCGCGUGUAGCAGUGAAAUGCGUAGAUAUGCGGAGGAACACCGAUGGCGAAGGCAAUCCCCUGGGCCUGCACUGACGCUCAUGCACGAAAGCGUGGGGAGCAAACAGGAUUAGAUACCCUAGUAGUCC
RNAcentral lists this ribosomal RNA (450 nucleotides) under uncultured bacterium. RNAcentral's name for it is "partial 16S ribosomal RNA". It matches the Rfam family "Bacterial small subunit ribosomal RNA", at positions 354 to 796 of the family's 1533-position model. The record is from RNAcentral.